ACAUUUCAAAACCAUGUUGCUCUUUAUUUCAAAGAUGACAAAUGUGGAAACUGUAACAUAAUUAAUAUUCAGUGGACAGGUUUUUUCCAAAUGUACACUUUAUUUUAAACAAAAGUACAAAAACAAACAUCAGGUAUUUACAAUACUUGCAUGGCAAUGUUCACUUUCUUUGGUCAUUCUUCCAAUUUGAUGGUUUUACAAACAGCAGCUUGGAGGUGUGAGACUAUCACAUGCUGUGAAUCCAGUGUUCAACCUGACGCUGAGCCAACUACGGAGGACUCGCAACUUAAUUACACCUUAGUAAUGUCUGCAAGCAUUUUAUCGACUGUUUCAAUCCAAGCUAUGAAUUACAUGGACAUUAUUGAAUUUGCCUACCUGGACAUUUUUUACAAUAUAAAUAGCAAAAAGAAAAUUAAAUUCACAUACUUCACAAUAACAUCCCAGUCUUGAUACAUUUUCAAAUUGAGUAAACGCUCUUAAAAACGACCAAAUUUGUGAAAUGUACAGCCGCGCGUAUUCCAUCGUAUUCUACACAAAUCUGACACGAAAGCAGGAACUAUAAUGCACAUCACAAACUGAAGCAACUACAGGUUGGUAUUUAAAAGAAGGCAAAUUUAUCGUGACGGCUACUUUAAGAUAAACACCUGGUCCUCUCUGCGUGCUCCGUCCCAAAAAUGCUACACAAUAAACAAUCAUACACUAAUGUGGAACAAAUAGAGAAUUCACUUACAGCCAUGAAACUUUCUUUCACUACAACAGGCUAAAUGAGUUAUUAUGCGUGAAAACAAAAUGUAAAACAAUCUGUACAGCCAACAGCAUGAGUACCCUAAACUUUUGCUCAAUAAUCUACAUGCCUGUCUUACACAGUGGUUAUGUGUCGAAUGUACAGUACAUUUGAAAAAAAUAAAUGGGAAAAAUAAACUGAGUUUCUUCUUUUUUUUUAAUCUUGAUUACUUUGCAAAGAGGUACACACGAUCAAAGAACAAAAAAAAAAUCAAAAAUCAUGUAAUGCCAAAGAACUCGCUCACUUCCUGCAGUGUAAAUCAUAUCACCAUCUGCAACUAAUGUCGAGUUUAACCCCCAUAACCCGUAAACCUUUCAGGAAUUUCCUCUCUAGUUCAACAUUAUUUUACGGCUGAGGAGACAAACUGGAAGAAAUGCUCCGAUAAACACAUUUAGCACACGGAUGUUGAAGGCAGAGGCGGUUCGACUGUGGCGACGUGAAGCUAAAAAGCGGUGGCGGUGAUGUCCCUUCGGAGGGCCGAACGGUCAGACUAAUGCAGGCCUACACAUCCUUACGGCAAAGGCAACUGGUCUAGUAGCAAUUCUACUUGCAUCAACUAGCAAAAUGAAAAAAAAAAAGAUCUGCGUUAUCUCAGUUUCCCAAAUUCCAUUCCAGUCCUAAUAGUGGACAAGUUUACACGUGUAUCAGUAGUGCAGACAAGUUAUGUAUUCCGCAUUCAGUAUGCAUUCCGUCUUUCUUUCUUUUUUUUCUUCUUUUUCUUGGAAUGGAGUGAUGGUUUGAAGCGUUGAGGGGGGGGUAUUUGGAUAUGCUUUUUUGUCAAAUCUUCCCUGAAACCAAAUCCAAAGCGUCUUCGUCCCAAUGUACACUUGUUUUUUUGUGUAAAAGUUUCACGUUCCAACUGGAAAGACAAGGAAUUAAGUCAGAU
Molecule: long non-coding RNA, 1670 nt
Organism: Gasterosteus aculeatus aculeatus (three-spined stickleback)
Lineage: Eukaryota; Metazoa; Chordata; Actinopteri; Perciformes; Gasterosteidae
Source: Ensembl